CUAAAGUAAAAGUUCCGGAAAGUGGAUUCCGUAGACCAAUCUGCAGCCUUCAAAAUGUCUUCCAAGCGACAUCCAGCCGCCGAUGCUUUUGAGGCCAUGGCGCCUCUGACGGAGUGGGAUGAGAAUACUGAGACAUCGAUCCCGGCCGUAGCUAGCAGCCAUUUGAUCUAGCGUGCUAGUGUCGGGGUAGAUACAGGUAGAUGAGGUUUCUUCAGGGAGAUCAACAGGGGUCCGUCGCGUAGAGGUGCGAGACUCGUAUUCCUUCAGGCAUGAUAUUGGGCAUAGGUUGGGUAAACUCGUG
Non-coding RNA from Pelobates cultripes (western spadefoot toad), 301 nucleotides. NCBI's taxonomy places the organism in Eukaryota, Metazoa, Chordata, Amphibia, Anura, Pelobatidae. The record is from the annotation of a GenBank genome assembly.